RNAcentral lists this ribosomal RNA (429 nucleotides) under Acidobacteriota bacterium. RNAcentral's name for it is "Acidobacteria bacterium partial 16S ribosomal RNA". It matches the Rfam family "Bacterial small subunit ribosomal RNA", at positions 355 to 776 of the family's 1533-position model. Lineage: Bacteria; Pseudomonadati; Acidobacteriota. The record is from RNAcentral.
UGGGGAAUUUUGGACAAUGGGGGAAACCCUGAUCCAGCCAUCCCGCGUGUGCGAUGAAGGCCUUCGGGUUGUAAAGCACUUUUGGCGGGAAAGAAACGUCAUGGGUUAAUACCCCGUGAAACUGACGGUACCUGCAGAAUAAGCACAGGCUAACUACGUGCCAGCAGCCGCGGUAAUACGUAGGGUGCAAGCGUUAAUCGGAAUUACUGGGCGUAAAGCGUGCGCAGGCGGUUCGGAAAGAAAGAUGUGAAAUCCCAGAGCUCAACUUUGGAACUGCAUUUUUAACUACCGGGCUAGAGUGUGUCAGAGGGAGGUGGAAUUCCGCGUGUAGCAGUGAAAUGCGUAGAUAUGCGGAGGAACACCGAUGGCGAAGGCAGCCUCCUGGGAUAACACUGACGCUCAUGCACGAAAGCGUGGGGAGCAAACAGG